Molecule: ribosomal RNA, 506 nt
Filed under: uncultured bacterium
Lineage: Bacteria
Description: partial 16S ribosomal RNA
Source: RNAcentral
GGAGUUAGCCGGUGCUUCUUCUGUGAGUGAUGUCCUUCCUGCCGGUUAUUGACCCGCAGGCCUUCUUCCUCACUGAAAGUGCUUUACAACCCGAAGGCCUUCUUCACACACGCGGCAUGGCUGGAUCAGGGUUGCCCCCAUUGUCCAAUAUUCCCCACUGCUGCCUCCCGUAGGAGUCUGGGCCGUGUCUCAGUCCCAGUGUGUCUGAUCAUCCUCUCAGACCAGCUACGGAUCGUCGCCUUGGUGAGCCGUUACCUCACCAACCAGCUAAUCCGACAUAGGCUCAUCCGAUAGCGCGAGGCCCGAAGGUCCCCCGCUUUCCCCCGUAGGGCGUAUGCGGUAUUAGCCUGGGUUUCCCCAGGUUAUCCCCCACUACCGGGCAGAUUCCUAUGCAUUACUCACCCGUCCGCCGCUCGCCACCAGGGAGCAAGCUCCCCGUGCUGCCGCUCGACUUGCAUGUGUUAGGCCUGCCGCCAGCGUUCAAUCUGAGCCAGAUCAAACUCUGA